This 253-nucleotide ribosomal RNA is filed under the name uncultured bacterium. RNAcentral's name for it is "partial 16S ribosomal RNA". It matches the Rfam family "Bacterial small subunit ribosomal RNA", at positions 524 to 776 of the family's 1533-position model. The record is from RNAcentral.
UACGGGGGGGGCAAGCGUUGUUCGGAAUUACUGGGCGUAAAGGGCUCGUAGGCGGCCAACUAAGUCCGACGUGAAAUCCCCAGGCUUAACCUGGGAACUGCGUCGGAUACUGGAUGGCUUGAAUUCGGGAGAGGGAUGCGGAAUUCCAGGUGUAGCGGUGAAAUGCGUAGAUAUCUGGAGGAACACCGGUGGCGAAGGCGGCAUCCUGGACCAAUAUUGACGCUGAGGAGCGAAAGCCAGGGGAGCAAACGGG